This 4465-nucleotide long non-coding RNA is filed under the name Hordeum vulgare. Its description in RNAcentral is "long non-coding RNA (HVUL_LNC010876)". Lineage: Eukaryota; Viridiplantae; Streptophyta; Magnoliopsida; Poales; Poaceae. The record is from RNAcentral.
CGAGGGAGGGGGCGUGGUUCCUUCCGCUUCCACGCACGCUCGCUCGCUCGCUCCGCAGGCGGCUCCGCGGCACCUCUCGCCAUGGCAAGCAAUAUUGGGAUGGCACUGCCAUUCGGGCCGGGCGCCGGGCCCUCGCCUUAUCGCGUCCCGGAUUCCUCCGGGACCCGCCCGAAAGGACGGACCUCACCGUGCAGGCACAAAAUCGCUGGCCACCCCCACCCAGAUCACCACGGAAUCUCCACCUGCGCCCCCUGCUUCUCCAGCGCUAUGUCGAGAAAAGAAAUACACAAGCCUUUUCGCGCGAACGAUCGAUUCGGGACGUCUACUACUCCUAUACAUGAUUUAGGUUUUGGCGUUAGUUCUUGCGUAAGCACCAAAGGAAGGCUGCUGGUUGCUACGACGACUUUGAUUAAUUAAUUAUUAGUUGGCGGAACAAAAACAUGAAUUCAGAAGAAUAUGCGAGGCGAUGACGCCGACGCCGACGACUACUAAUUACCAUUGUUAACGCUUGAUUGAUGCCCACCCAGCCAAUGCAAGCGAGUUAGAUAUAGAUAGAUAUUAGCACCGGUUGGGUUGGGGUUGUGGUUGGACUUGAGCAAGCAACAGCGCACCUACCAUAUCAAAAGCUAAGCAUCACGCCGAUCAUCACGUUUGCUCCAGUGGCCCCCCCACACCCACACCCACACCCACACCCACUCUCACACACACACAUGCCCACGGCUAAGCUAAGCAUCCCAAAUAAUAAAACAGCUCGUGCAAGAACAAGGAUGCUUAUCUUCUUCUUCUUAAUCGAAGAGUAGGCAGCUCGUGCAACUUGCUCUUACAAAGUGAUAAAAAGAUUUAAACACCGAUUAUACUAGCAGGUGGAUAAACCCAAUAAAGUAGGUGCAGUGGAGCAGUGCGACACGCCGCUGCCUGUGACUGUCUUGUCACGCCUGAAGACAUGACAAGAUGAACACGUACUGAGUACCGAGUCACCACCGGGCCCAGUUCGGUACGCGUACGCAUGUCCUUCUUUUCCCUCUAGGCUCAGCAGCCUCAGCUCAGCUCAGCUCCUAGACGGCAAAGCCAGGUCAACUUCGUUAUCUGCGAUACAUGAUACUACUAUACGCGGUGAUAAGAUGGGCCAUGCACGACGUGGACAACCAACUGCCACGAGUUAUACUCAGCCAUAGGAGUAGAGCAAGCUCUAUCCUUCUCCAGGGCUUAUCCAAACGCCAUCCUUUUCUUUUGGCGGUGGGAUCACGUAACCAGACGUGAUUAUCCUUACGCAUAGUACACGGAUGAUGACAUGGAUAAUGAGUUCAGCGCUAGUGUUUAGCACAUGAACAGCGCAAAGAAAAAUGUUUACCACUGCAGCAGGGCCUGGUGCUACGGAUGCACAGGUGGGAAGGACAAGAAGAGCAAGGAGACAAGCUCGUGCACAGUCUCGAACUCUCGGUGCUUCCCCCAUGUCACCGCCAAGCAGGCCCACCCGCCAGUCCAUUCAUAAUCCAUCGCUAGUGCUAGUGCAUCGCAGUGAAAAGACAAACUUUUCUUCUCAACGAAAAGAAAAGAUGGAGAUGAAAACUGAGUACUCGUACGCCUCGAGAAAUAUUUCGAGUGCUCAUACGUGCUACAGGACAGACUCCUGCCAUUUUCUUCCCAGUCUUUUGAGGCCGGUAAAAUCGAUGCGGUAAAAAUACAGAAAAGAAAUACUACGGGGUAGACUUUGCGUGUCCCUCUCUACCCCGCGUACCACCAACGUACUCUACGUGCAGGUCAAGGUGCAGUAGUUUCUUCCCUCUCUCUUUUUAGUGUAUUUUCUACUGCUAGAACCGGGCGAGCGCGCGGCGGAGCACCUGGGCGAGGAGGCUGGGGGCGCUGAGGUGGGGGAGGUGGCCCUCCGUCGGCAGGGGCUCGAUGGUGGUGCGGCCGCCGAGGUGGGCCUUGAGGUACGCGGCGACGGAGGCCGGCACGGAGACGUCGCGGGUGGUCUGCACGACGACGCACGGCGCCUGCACCAUGCCCAGCACGCCGCGGAGGUCGGUCUUGAACACGCUCUGGCAGACGUGGAGCGAGAUGUCCGGCCGCAUGUUGAACAGCGUCCGGCUGAACUCCUGCACCGCCGCCGGCACGUCCGCGCCCACCGCCAGCGGCGCGUACCCCGUCGCCCACGCCGCGUAGUUGGCCGACAUCGCGUCGAACACCUGCUGGAUCUGCUCCAGCUCGAACCCGCCGUGGUAGUCGCUGUCGUUCAAGAACCUGCUCGAUCGAUCGAUCGAUGGAUGGAUUGCUCCGGUCAGUUGGUUUGCCGGCGAGGCGCCGCGUGCAAGGGAAGGAAGGACUGAUAAUAAUUGACCUAUCGAUAAGCGGUGCGAAUUACUCUACCACCGUACCGUACCCACCUAGGCGAGGCGCCGAUGAGGACGAGCUUGGCGAAGAGGUCGGGGCGGCGGAUGGAGGCGAGGAUGCCGAUCAUGGCGGAGACGGAGUGGCCGACGAAGGCGCAGCGCGGGAUGCGGAGCGCGUCGAGGAUGGAGAGCAGGUCGUCCACGUAGGCGUCCAGGUUGUUGUAGCGGCGGAAGUCGAAGUGGUCCGGGUUGACGCUGCCGGCGCAGACGAGGUCGUAGAGCACCACGCGGUGGUCGCGGGUCAGGUACGGCAGCACGCGGCUCCACGCGGACUGGUCCGUGCCGAAGCCGUGCGACAGCACCACCACGCGCUCGCCGGUGCCCACCACCCGCACGUUCAGGAUCUGCAGCAGCUUCGCCCCGCUCGGCGCGCCCCCGACCAUCGUCUCGCCGGAGCCGGACGCCGGGGCCGGGCUGCUGCCGCCGCUACUGCUGCUGCUGCUGGGGCUGAGGGGGUGCGUGGACCGGAGCAUGAGACGACUGACUUGGGAGGGAUACGGGGCUGGGUCGCAGAGGCCGCGCCGCUCUUUAUAUACUACUGGGUACUGGCUGGGUAGCUAGCUGGCUAGCAAGCAGCGGAGGCCAUGGCGCUCUUGGCUACCUCUCUCUGAGAUCUCUCUCCCCUCCUCUGCUUUAUUCCCCUCGCUUGCUCUGCCCCCUCUUGGUUUUCUGGUGUGGUGUGGUGUGGUGUGGGCGAGGAGAGAGUUUUGUUUUGUUUCCGUUUUGGAGGUGUGAUGAUGUGCCCAAUUAUCCAGGCCACACCGGAUAAAAAGGAGCGGCACCUAUAAUUCUAGCCGCUAGGUUUUGUUUUUUUAUUGAUUUGGGUUUUUCCGUGCGUGACAAAACCAGUCAUUGUUACAGAUUUACUUUGACCCACUCUGUGGUGCUAAACAUCACUGUCUUCUUUAUUAGCUGUAUAUAUAGAGAAAUUCAGUCUGCAGGUGGGACUGUAGAUGGAUGCGCCACCUCAAACCCAUUUCAUCCAUCACUUUUUGUUGGUAAGUAAUGGACAUCCCACUAAAAAUUUAAUGGGAUAAGUAAGAUUAAGUAGGAUCUCAUUUAAAAAUCUCAUACAAGCAUGCAACAAAAAAAAUUCACACAAGCUCGAGCCUCUAGAAUCUCAUCCCCGUAUGCUACAUGCAACAAAGGAAUUAACACAACUUUUCUUCACUAAAUAUAUGUAACCACACCAUAGCACCAUUUGCUUUGAAAAUGAACAUUCCAACGGCCAGAAAAUUUUGAUGAAUUUUUGCUCUGAACAUGGGUGACAUACUGACAUGAGACAUUUCUUUCUUCCUGUUUUGAAUCCUUUAGUCACAUGAAUGGUAGCGCUAUUCCAAAGGAAGAUCAAAGUAUGAUAAAACCUGCAACACAAAACCAAAUCAAACUUCUAAAAACAAAAAAAAAUCAACAACCAGAACUAAAAAGAUCAUAACUGCAAAAUACAUUAAUAGGCGAAUCAUUUUUGUAGAAUUUAAAGCAUUGCCAGUUCAUGAAAGAGCUUCUGGCUAAAGUUCAAACUUCAAAAGUUAAUCUAGUACGUGACAAUUUAAGGCAACAUGGAAAAAUGUUGCUUCACAAGAAUUACCUAGGUGGUUCCAGCAUCAUGUUGAUCACCACCAUGGUACCCGACUGUUGGUUCCGCCUUUUGGCGAUCUAAAAUAUUAGAGGCAUUCAAAAUGGAACAUUCAAAUGAGACAUUAUUAAAUAAAGCAUGGAAAACUAAUUAAAAACAUAUUACCAACUGAUCAAAGCCAAUCCUCAUGGCACAUCAGCGUCUCAAUGGUAGUCGGGCUCAAACUACUUCUAUGGUCACUUAUGAUCCUUCUAGCAUUGUUGAAUGUAGCCUCUGCAUGCACUGUAGAUGCGGACAUUGCCAAUAUGUCUCGCGCUAUAGCCCCAAGCACUGGAUACUUUGGGGGGUGGAUUUUCCACCACUUAAAGAUAUCAAACUUCUGUCGGCGAGGAAACAAGUCUUCUUCAAGAUAUUGUUCUAGCUCAUUUGAGUUGUGGGAUCUUUUCAAUCUCGAAUGGUUAUCCGAAUCAUCAAGGUCGUCCUCCUCAUCCUCCUC